GCAGUCGACGGUAGCACAGAGGAGCUUGCUCCUUGGGUGACGAGUGGCGGACGGGUGAGUAAUGUCUGGGAAACUGCCCGAUGGAGGGGGAUAACUACUGGAAACGGUAGCUAAUACCGCAUAACGUCGCAAGACCAAAGAGGGGGACCUUUGGGCCUCUUGCCAUCGGAUGUGCCCAGAUGGGAUUAGCUAGUAGGUGGGGUAACGGCUCACCUAGGCGACGAUCCCUAGCUGGUCUGAGAGGAUGACCAGCCACACUGGAACUGAGACACGGUCCAGACUCCUACGGGAGGCAGCAGUGGGGAAUAUUGCACAAUGGGCGCAAGCCUGAUGCAGCCAUGCCGCGUGUAUGAAGAAGGCCUUCGGGUUGUAAAGACUUUUUCAGCGGGGAGGAAGGGAGUAAAGUUAAUACCUUUGCUCAUUGACGUUACCCGCAGAAGAAGCACCGGCUAACUCCGUGCCAGCAGCCGCGGUAAUACGGAGGGUGCAAGCGUUAAUCGGAAUUACUGGGCGUAAAGCGCACGCAGGCGGUUUGUUAAGUCAGAUGUGAAAUCCCCGGGCUCAACCUGGGAACUGCAUCUGAUACUGGCAAGCUUGAGUCUCGUAGAGGGGGGUAGAAUUCCAGGUGUAGCGGUGAAAUGCGUAGAGAUCUGGAGGAAUACCGGUGGCGAAGGCCGCCCCCUGGACGAAGACUGACGCUC
RNAcentral lists this ribosomal RNA (701 nucleotides) under uncultured bacterium. RNAcentral's name for it is "bacterial SSU rRNA". It matches the Rfam family "Bacterial small subunit ribosomal RNA", at positions 57 to 748 of the family's 1533-position model. The record is from RNAcentral.